Molecule: ribosomal RNA, 539 nt
Filed under: uncultured bacterium
Lineage: Bacteria
Description: bacterial SSU rRNA
Rfam family: Bacterial small subunit ribosomal RNA
Source: RNAcentral
AAUAGAUACCCGGGUAGUCCUAGCCGUAAACGAUGAACACUAGGCGUAGUCGGUAUCGACCCCGGCUGUGCCGUAGCUAACGCAUUAAGUGUUCCGCCUGGGGAGUACAGCCGCAAGGCUAAAACUCAAAGGAAUUGACGGGGGCCCGCACAAGCAGCGGAGCGUGUGGUUUAAUUCGUCGCAACGCGAAGAACCUUACCAGGGCUUGACAUGUGGCGGAAAACGGCGGAAACGUCGUCCUCCCGCAAGGGACCGUCAUGCAGGUGUUGCAUGGCCGUCGUCAGCUCGUGUCGUGAGAUGUUGGGUUAAGUCCCGCAACGAGCGCAACCCCCGUGGCAUGUUGUAUCUCUCAUGCCAGACUGCCGAGAGAAACUCGGAGGAAGGUGGGGAUGACGCCAAGUCAGCAUGGCCCUUACGUCCUGGGCUACACACACGGCUACAAUGGCCGGUACAACGGGUUGCCAAACCGGCGAGGUGGAGCUAAUCCCUUAAAGCCGGUCUCAGUUCGGAUUGCAGGCUGCAACUCGCUGCAUGAAGCC